This 30-nucleotide non-coding RNA is filed under the name Mus musculus (house mouse). Lineage: Eukaryota; Metazoa; Chordata; Mammalia; Rodentia; Muridae. The record is from RNAcentral.
UGAAGGACUCAAAUCAAUGGUGUCAGGACU